RNAcentral lists this ribosomal RNA (415 nucleotides) under uncultured bacterium. RNAcentral's name for it is "bacterial SSU rRNA". It matches the Rfam family "Bacterial small subunit ribosomal RNA", at positions 358 to 776 of the family's 1533-position model. The record is from RNAcentral.
GGAAUCUUGCGCAAUGGGCGAAAGCCUGACGCAGCAACGCCGCGUGGGUGAAGAAGGCCUUCGGGUCGUAAAGCCCUUUUAUCGGAGAAGAAGGGGGAGCAAUCCCCUUGACGGUAUCCGAGGAAUAAGCCUCGGCUAACUACGUGCCAGCAGCCGCGGUAAUACGUAGGAGGCGAGCGUUGUCCGGAUUUAUUGGGCGUAAAGGGGGUGUAGGCGGCUCGUUUAGUCGGAUGUGAAAUCUCUCGGCUUAACCGGGAUGGGUCAUUCGAUACUGGCGGGCUUGAGGACAGCAGAGGAAAGCGGAAUUCCCGGUGUAGUGGUGAAAUGCGUAGAUAUCGGGAGGAACACCAGUGGCGAAGGCGGCUUUCUGGGCUGUAUCUGACGCUGAGACCCGAAAGCGUGGGGAGCAAACCGG